This 459-nucleotide ribosomal RNA is filed under the name uncultured bacterium. RNAcentral's name for it is "partial 16S ribosomal RNA". It matches the Rfam family "Bacterial small subunit ribosomal RNA", at positions 30 to 507 of the family's 1533-position model. The record is from RNAcentral.
AUUGAACGCUGGCGGCAGGCCUAACACAUGCAAGUCGAGCGGAUGAAGGGAGCUUGCUCCUGGAUUCAGCGGCGGACGGGUGAGUAAUGCCUAGGAAUCUGCCUGGUAGUGGGGGAUAACGUCCGGAAACGGGCGCUAAUACCGCAUACGUCCUGAGGGAGAAAGUGGGGGAUCUUCGGACUGCACGCUUUCAGAUGAGCCUAGGUCGGAUUAGCUAGUUGGUGGGGUAAAGGCCUACCAAGGCGACGAUCCGUAGCUGGUCUGAGAGGAUGAUCAGCCACACUGGGACUGAGACACGGCCCAGACUCCUACGGGAGGCAGCAGUGGGGAAUAUUGGACAAUGGGCGAAAGCCUGAUCCAGCAAUGCCGCGUGAGUGAUGAAGGCCUUAGGGUUGUAAAGCUCUUUUACCCGGGAUGAUAAUGACAGUACCGGGAGAAUAAGCGCCGGCUAACUCCGUG